RNAcentral lists this ribosomal RNA (305 nucleotides) under uncultured bacterium. RNAcentral's name for it is "bacterial SSU rRNA". It matches the Rfam family "Bacterial small subunit ribosomal RNA", at positions 333 to 630 of the family's 1533-position model. The record is from RNAcentral.
GGAGACCUACGGGAGGCAGCAGUAGGGAAUUUUCGUCAAUGGGCGCAAGCCUGAACGAGCAAUGCCGCGUGAACGAGGAAGGUCUUCGGAUCGUAAAGUUCUGUUGAAGGGGAAAAAGAGCGGAGAGAGGAAAUGAACUCCGAUUGAUAUUACCCUUCGAGGAAAUCACGGCUAACUACGUGCCAGCAGCCGCGGUAAUACGUAGGUGGCGAGCGUUAUCCGGAAUGAUUGGGCGUAAAGGGUGCGUAGGCGGCCUGCUAAGUCUGGAGUGGAAGCCCGGGGCCCAACCCCGGGACUGCUUUGGA